CCGCCUCCCCCAUCCCUCCCACUCCUCUGGGGACCCCCAUUCUCCGUGACGUUGUCCAGGACCACUUCGACCCUGUCGCCCCCAGCUCCCCCCCGCCGCACCCCAGCCCCGAGCAUGGGGACGGCGCUGGUCCAGCAUGGGGGCUGCUGUCUCCUCUGCCUGUCGCUGCUGCUGUUGGGCUGCUGGGCAGAGCUGGGCAGUGGGCUGGAGUUCCCAGGCGCUGAGGGCCAGUGGACGCGCUUCCCCAAGUGGAACGCGUGCUGCGAGAGUGAGAUGAGCUUCCAGCUGAAGACACGCAGCGCCCGCGGCCUCGUGCUCUACUUCGACGACGAGGGCUUCUGCGACUUCCUCGAGCUCAUCCUGACACGCGGCGGCCG
This 377-nucleotide long non-coding RNA is filed under the name Rattus norvegicus (Norway rat). Its description in RNAcentral is "long non-coding RNA NONRATT024819". The record is from RNAcentral. Lineage: Eukaryota; Metazoa; Chordata; Mammalia; Rodentia; Muridae.